AAAGUAAGAAGGGGCUUAGAGUCAGGUAGAACAGUCCGGACCUAAGGCACCGAGUUAAAGUGCUUAGUCAGGUAUAGAGUCCUGCAGCUAAGGCACUGAGUGUUUGAAGAGUCUGGUAUAGAGUCCAGUACCUUUAACUCACUAAAGUAAGAAGGGGCUUAGAGUCAGGUAGAACAGUCCGGACCUAAGGCACCGAGUUAAAGUGCUUAGUCAGGUAUAGAGUCCUGCAGCUAAGGCACUGAGUGUUUGUAAGAGUCGGGUAAAUAGCUAUAAGUCCCGUACCUUAAUUCACUAAAAA
Long non-coding RNA from Gymnodraco acuticeps, 298 nucleotides. RefSeq lists it as uncharacterized. The record is from RefSeq and is a predicted model, not a curated record. NCBI's taxonomy places the organism in Eukaryota, Metazoa, Chordata, Actinopteri, Perciformes, Bathydraconidae. The transcript has 2 exons.